Molecule: ribosomal RNA, 933 nt
Filed under: Deltaproteobacteria bacterium
Lineage: Bacteria; Pseudomonadati; Myxococcota; Myxococcia
Description: bacterial SSU rRNA
Rfam family: Bacterial small subunit ribosomal RNA
Source: RNAcentral
GGAGAGUUUGAUCCUGGCUCAGAACGAACGCUGGCGGCGUGCCUAACACAUGCAAGUCGUGCGAGAACGCUCCCUUCGGGGAGCUAGUAAAGCGGCGCACGGGUGAGUAACACGUGGGUAAUCUGCCCUUGAGUUUGGGAUAACCCGGGGAAACCCGGGCUAAUACCAAAUGCGCCCCAGGGGUCUUCGGACGCCUGGGAGAAAGAUGGCCUCUGCUUGCAAGCUAUCGCUCAUGGAUGAGCCCGCGUCCCAUUAGCUUGUUGGUGAGGUAACGGCUCACCAAGGCUCAGAUGGGUAGCUGAUCUGAGAGGAUGAUCAGCCACACUGGAACUGAGACACGGUCCAGACCCCUACGGGAGGCAGCAGUGGGGAAUUUUGGGCAAUGGGCGCAAGCCUGACCCAGCAACGCCGCGUGAGGGAUGAAGGUUUUCGGAUCGUAAACCUCUGUCAGGAGGGAAGAGCAGUCCCAUGGCCAAUACCCAUGGGACCCGACGGUACCUCCAAAGGAAGCGCCGGCUAACUCCGUGCCAGCAGCCGCGGUAAUACGGAGGGCGCAAGCGUUGUUCGGAAUUACUGGGCGUAAAGCGCGUGUAGGCGGUUUGGAAAGUCGGGUGUGAAAUCCCCGGGCCUAACCCGGGAACUGCAUCCGAAACUUCCUGACUAGAGUCCCGGAGAGGAAGGCAGAAUUCCCAGUGUAGGGGUGAAAUCCGUAGAUAUUGGGAGGAAUACCAGUGGCGAAGGCGGCCUUCUGGACGGUGACUGACGCUGAGACGCGAAAGCGUGGGGAGCAAACAGGAUUAGAUACCCUGGUAGUCCACGCUGUAAACGGUGCGUACUAGGUGUCGGGGGUAUUCACCCCUCCGGUGCCGGAGGUAACCUUUUAAGUACGCCGCCUGGGGAGUACGGCCGCAAGGCUAAAACUCAAAGGAAUUG